AAGUCGUAACAAGGUCUCCGUUGGUGAACCAGCGGAGGGAUCAUUGCUGGAACAAACGCCCUCACGGGUGCUACCCAGAAACCCUUUGUGAAUACUACCUAAAAAUGUUGCCUCGGCGCAGGUUGGCCCUUUUACAGGGUCCCUUCUCCCCUAGGGGUUAAGGAGCAGACCGGCCGGCGGCCCUAUAAACUCUUGUUUUUGUAAAAUCAUCUGAGUAAAAAAAAUAAAUGAAUCAAAACUUUCAACAACGGAUCUCUUGGUUCUG
This 265-nucleotide unclassified non-coding RNA is filed under the name Pleuroceras tenellum. RNAcentral describes it as "partial internal transcribed spacer region". The stretch from base 1 to 46 matches the Rfam family "Eukaryotic small subunit ribosomal RNA", at positions 1786 to 1831 of the family's 1831-position model. Lineage: Eukaryota; Fungi; Ascomycota; Sordariomycetes; Diaporthales; Gnomoniaceae. The record is from RNAcentral.